This 492-nucleotide ribosomal RNA is filed under the name uncultured bacterium. RNAcentral's name for it is "partial 16S ribosomal RNA". It matches the Rfam family "Bacterial small subunit ribosomal RNA", at positions 29 to 507 of the family's 1533-position model. The record is from RNAcentral.
AGUGAACGCUGGCGGUAGGCCUAACACAUGCAAGUCGAACGGCAGCACAGUAAGAUCUUUCUCUUACGGGUGGCGAGUGGCGGACGGGUGAGGAAUACAUCGGAAUCUACUUUUUCGUGGGGGAUAACGUAGGGAAACUUACGCUAAUACCGCAUACGACCUACGGGUGAAAGCAGGGGAUCUUCAGACCUUUCGCGAUUGAAUGAGCCGAUGUCGGACUAGCUAGUUGGCGGGGUAAAGGCCCACCAAGGCGACGAUCCGUAGCUGGUCUGAGAGGAUGAUCAGCCACACUGGAACUGAGACACGGUCCAGACUCCUACGGGAGGCAGCAGUGGGGAAUAUUGGACAAAGGGCGAAAGCCUGAUCCAGCCAUACCGCGUGGGUGAAGAAGGCCUUCGGGUUGUAAAGCCCUUUUGUUGGGAAAGAAAAGCAGCAGGUUAAUACCCCGCUGUUCUGACGGUACCCAAAGAAUAAGCACCGGCUAACUUCGUG